Long non-coding RNA from Parus major (Great Tit), 1724 nucleotides. RefSeq lists it as uncharacterized. The transcript is spliced from 3 exons. The record is from RefSeq and is a predicted model, not a curated record. NCBI's taxonomy places the organism in Eukaryota, Metazoa, Chordata, Aves, Passeriformes, Paridae.
AAUACCAAUGUUCUACUUUUAUCAACAUUCAGGUAUUCAAGAUGAUUCAGUAGUCUCAAGGAGGAUCAGCUCAGAUCCCAACAGUUAAGCGUGAUAGCGGGGGACACUGUCUUCGUACCUGGAACGCCGGAAGAACCCGCACUGCGCAGACAAGGAAAAGAACAGUUCAGGUGUAAGUUGCUGCCGAAGUAUUACAACUGUAGAGGCAGUAAAUUCUUCCUUCACACAAAUAUGCAGGUCAGAAAAUUGAAAACAGAAGUAUGUAGACCAAAAAUGUAGCAUAUUUCAGCUGUAAAAAUGUGAGCCAAGAGGUCUGCAUUAGCUGUUCAGCAGCAGUUAAAGACAAAGGGCAUGCUCUGACUAUCCCUGGUAAUCAAAUACCUUAAAAAGAUUCCCUCCAGUACAAAGCUGUUCAUUCAUCUAAUAAGGACACUUAUUGCUACACAUGGGAAAGCUGCUUCUCCUGAAUCAAAGGUAGGUAUAUACUUCAAUAUCUUCCUGUAUGGUGACAUUAUUUACCCUUAAGAACCUACAUAAAGAUUUCCAUAACAUUCAAGAAAAGUUACCCUAAGGGCCUUAGUUUUCAAAGAACCAUUUCCACUUCAGUCACCUGAACUAACUACAAUAUGCUGUCUUAGAAACAUGAGUCUUGCUUAGUUUACCAUGGGAAGUCACCCUGGAUGAAAUCUAUAACAGUUUAUUUGUGCUGUGCAAUUUUUUAUUCAAAGCCACUGUGAAAACUGAUUUUUAAUAUUGAGGAAUGGAUUAAAAUUAAUUUCCAAAAUAAAAGGGAGCUAUGGCCACAAUAUUAUAAAGAUAAUGAUUGGUACAGACUCAGCUUUACAUCCUCAUGGAUCACUGAUCAUCCUUAGGGGUCAAGAGUUCAGGUUAAGAAGCAUUGUGCCAUCCAGCUGUCAUUAGAUACUGGUGGGGGUAAGAACAUGUUAAAGAGGGCAAGAUUUUGUUCAUAGUAUUUGGGGUGCUGGUUAUUUUAAUAUUAGAACUUAGAACGGAAUUAAAAAAAUUACAGUGAGCAAAGACCAAAUCUUUAGCCAUCUUAUAGGUUCAUUAAAUACUGAUUAGAAAUAAUUCAUAAAGAAUUCCUCCCCAGCCCCUCAUCCCAAGCACAUUUAAGGAUACAAUGUACAUGCAUGUGAUAUCUUAAGUUGAAUAAAGGUUGCUGGAAGCAUAAACCAUCAUGCAUCUUGUAGCUUCAGCAAAGUGUGUUCCUAGAGAAUUACACCUUACAACUCAAGUAAAACAGAUGUUUCCACAGCAAUAAAUUCUCAUAAUGAAAAUCCUUCGUGGAUGUAAGCAACAUGUACCUUUCAGCAUGCACUACAGUUUCAGACCAGAAAAUAAAAAAUAACCAGAUGAAUAAACACCCACCUUCCAUAGUAAGAAUACCAACAGUGCAAGCAUGAGUAUUCCAGCAAGGAUAGCCACCGCGAUGAUCCACCACGGAACUCCUGUAUAAAGGGCUACUGGUUUUGCAGGAAACACGGUAACACGCACCUACGGGAUGGAAAAUGUGCAGGUGGAAGGAGUAUUUUAGAAGGUACAUGUUUAAUCAGAAAGCUGCAAUUUAUAUAGUCUUAGCUCUCCUCUACCAAGAUGUCUUCUACAAAAUGCUUUUGAAGAAAAAGUUCCCACUGGUAUCAUUUGAAUAUGGCAAUGAAUUUUUUCAACCCCAUUAAAAGGUAAAAAUGAUCAAUAACUCAAAA